GGGGCUAUAGCUCAGCUGGGAGAGCACCUGCCUUGCACGCAGGGGGUCAGCGGUUCGAUCCCGCUUAGCUCCACCA
Molecule: transfer RNA, 76 nt
Filed under: Nitrospira sp.
Lineage: Bacteria; Pseudomonadati; Nitrospirota; Nitrospiria; Nitrospirales; Nitrospiraceae
Also listed under: 16 other names
Description: tRNA-Ala
Rfam family: tRNA
About the family: Transfer RNA (tRNA) molecules are approximately 80 nucleotides in length. Their secondary structure includes four short double-helical elements and three loops (D, anti-codon, and T loops).
Source: RNAcentral